GAUGAACGCUGGCGGCGUGCCUAACACAUGCAAGUCGAACGGAGAUUCCGGACGGACGUUUUCGGAUGGAAGCCUGUAAUUCUUAGUGGCGGACGGGUGAGUAACGCGUGGGCAACCUGCCCUAUACAGGGGGAUAGCAGCUGGAAACGGCUGGUAAGACCGCAUAAGUCGGUUAAAUCGCAUGAUUUGAUCGGGAAAUGAGCAAUCAGGUAUAGGAUGGGCCCGCGUCGGAUUAGCCAGUUGGCAGGGUAAAAGCCUACCAAAGCGACGAUCGAUAGCCGACAUGCGAGGGAGAUCGGCCACACGGGAAGUGAGAAACGGUCCAGACUACUACGGGAGGCAGAAGUAGGGACUCUUCCGCAAUGGGGGAAGUGCUGAAGGAGCAAAGGCGAGUGAGUGAUGAAGGUCUUCGGAUCGUAAAACUCUGUUAUUAGGGAAGAAGAUAUGUGUAAGUAACACUGCACAUCUUGACGGUACCUAAUCAGAAAGCCACGGCUAACUACGUG
Molecule: ribosomal RNA, 506 nt
Filed under: uncultured bacterium
Lineage: Bacteria
Description: partial 16S ribosomal RNA
Rfam family: Bacterial small subunit ribosomal RNA
Source: RNAcentral